CUAGAGAUGCUGCCUGACCCGCUGAGUUACUCCAGUAUUUUGUGUCUAUCUUUCCUUUCUCGUGGUCUAGUUUGUUGUCUCCGGUGUCCUCGGCUGCGCUCCCUCACCUCAAGGUCACGGACAGGAAAUAAUGAAAUGAGGAAAUCAUCCUAUUUUUGCUUCAACAACCAGCGGCACGCUUUCCCAUUGUGACAAAGUGCCUUGAAAGACAUAUACCAUCUGCAGUAUUGGGCCUUUGAUGUUUUAAGUCAGGAUCACAUGAUGCAUCUUAACGGAGACAGAACACAGGAAAAAUAAUUCGCUUGACGAAGGGUCCCAACCCAAAACAUCACCUAUCCAUGUUCUCCAGGGGCCUGACCCGCUGGGUUACUCCAGCACUUUAUGUCUUUUUUUGUAAACCAGCACCUGCAGAUCCUUGUUUCUACAAAAAAAAGCUAGUGUUGCAUCAACUAGUAAUUCAGUGGAAAACAUUUAUGAAUUUUGAGAUGAACUGUCAACAUGAUAUCAACUCUAUUGAAUCUACCACUUCAGGGAAUUUGUGGAAAGCUAAAGGGGCUGUCCCGCUUUGGCGACCUAAUUGGUGAGUUUAGAUGAGUUUGAAAAAAUGACAUGUUGAAGCCCUCUUUUGACUAUGUAGAAGACCUCCUUCGACCUCCUUCGACUAUGUUGAAGACCAGCUUCGACUAACUACGACUAGCUACGACUAACUUCGGGAAAAUUGGACACCGAAUAGUGGAGAGUGAAGAUGACCUCCUUUGAUCUCCUUUGACCUCCCUUCGACUAUAAUGAAGACUAUCUACCACUACCUUCGACUACUUUUGACUACCCUCGAUUACCUACGACUAACAUGCCGAUCUACUACGACAAACCUACAAGUAAAAAAAGUAUCGAUUUUUCCCAUGGCAACCUUAUUUUACUCGCGGGCAUUUUUUAACAUAUUGAAAAAAACGCCGCGACCUAGCUGAGGCCUCGAGUACGCGGAGACCACUCUCGAGCAUGAAGGAGAGUUACAAAGACCUCCUACGAUCUCGUGUCGACCAUGCUGCGAGUAUGAGUCAAGGGCAUACCCACAAACGAAAGAGAUAUAUGUCUUGAAAGGUGACACUCGAAAGAAGAACAUUAGUGGGUCAUCAGACCAUUCAGUGGUGCAGCAUUUUAAAUAGUGUGGCUUCUUAGUACUACUCAGCCUUGGGUGUAAAGUAGUAAAGGCAAUGGCCAUUGAAUAUUAUAUCUAUUAACAAUAAAUAAACAAUAAAUAAACACUCAACUAAUCUGUCCCAUUUAUAUUAAUUGAUCAUUUAGAGCAAAGUUCAGGUGGUAGUGUUUGUUUGGGUCAUUUCUUUAAAUUGUAUUAUUUCCCUUAUGUAGACUUCUUCUGAUACAUUACACUAAAUAUCUACAGACACAUUGGCAAGGGAAUAGAAAGAACCCUGAUCCUUUAUGGUUCAGAGCUUCAAGUUCCUUAACAUUAACAUUACCAACUUAUCUUGGACCAUCCAUAUCGAAGCAAUGGCCAAGAAAGUACACCGACGCAUCUACUUCCUUAGAAGUCUUAGGAAGUUCAGCAUGUCCACAACAACAAACAUCCACAGAUGCACUGUAGAAAGCAUUUUCUCAGGAUGCAUCGCAGCAUGGUUUGGGAACAGCUCAAUCCAAGACCACAACAAAUUGUAGAGAAUUGUGGAUGCAGCCCACAUCAUCACACAAACCAGCCUCCCUUCCAUUGACUCCAUUAACACUUCACGCUUGCCUUGGAAAGGCCAGCAGCAUAAUCAAGGAUGAGUCGCACCUUGGCCAAUUCCUCUUUUCCCUGCUCCCAUCGGGCAAAAGGUAGAGAAGUGCGAAAAUGCACACCUCCAGAUUUAGGGCCAGUUUCUUCCCAGGCAAUUGAAUCAUCCUAUCAAUAACUAGAGAGCAUUCGUGAGCUACUAUUUACCUCAUUGGAGACCCUUGGGCUCUCUUUAAUCAGACUUUACUGGGCUUUAUCUUGCAUUAAACAUUAUUCGCUUUAUCAUGUAUCUAUACACUGUGGAUGGCAUGGGGUGUAAUGAUGUAUAGCCUUUCCGCUGAUUGGGUAGUACGCAACAAAAGCUUUUCAUUGUACCUAGGUACACGUGACAAUAAACUAAGCUGAACUAAACCAAUGAUCUGUCAUGGAUGAAUCACAUUAAAAUAACAGCCAAGACACCACCGUCUCUACUUGCUCGGAAGACAUCACACUGUUAGGAACAGCUCUGCCCAAGACCACAAGAAAUUGCAGAGAGUUGUGGA
Leucoraja erinaceus (little skate) is the source of this 2271-nucleotide long non-coding RNA. RefSeq lists it as uncharacterized. Lineage: Eukaryota; Metazoa; Chordata; Chondrichthyes; Rajiformes; Rajidae. The transcript is spliced from 3 exons. The record is from RefSeq and is a predicted model, not a curated record.